This 617-nucleotide ribosomal RNA is filed under the name uncultured bacterium. RNAcentral describes it as "bacterial SSU rRNA". It matches the Rfam family "Bacterial small subunit ribosomal RNA", at positions 8 to 623 of the family's 1533-position model. The record is from RNAcentral.
AGAGUUUGAUUCUGGCUCAGGAUGAACGCUGGCGGCGUGCCUAACACAUGCAAGUCGAACGAAGCAUUUAAGACGGAUUUCUUCGGAAGGAAGACUUUUAUGACUGAGUGGCGGACGGGUGAGUAACGCGUGGGCAACCUGCCCCGCACCGGGGGACAACAGCCGGAAACGGCUGCUAAUACCGCAUAAGCGCACAGCUCCGCAUGGAGCAGUGUGAAAAAUUCCGGUGGUGCGGGAUGGGCCCGCGUCUGAUUAGCUGGUUGGCGGGGCAACGGCCCACCAAGGCGACGAUCAGUAGCCGGCCUGAGAGGGCGGACGGCCACAUUGGGACUGAGACACGGCCCAGACUCCUACGGGAGGCAGCAGUGGGGAAUAUUGCACAAUGGGGGAAACCCUGAUGCAGCGACGCCGCGUGAGCGAAGAAGUAUUUCGGUAUGUAAAGCUCUAUCAGCAGGGAAGAAAAUGACGGUACCUGACUAAGAAGCUCCGGCUAAAUACGUGCCAGCAGCCGCGGUAAUACGUAUGGAGCAAGCGUUAUCCGGAUUUACUGGGUGUAAAGGGAGCGUANGCGGCCUGGCAAGUCUGGUGUGAAAUACCGGGGCCCAACCCCGGGGCUG